Molecule: ribosomal RNA, 305 nt
Filed under: uncultured bacterium
Lineage: Bacteria
Description: partial 16S ribosomal RNA
Rfam family: Bacterial small subunit ribosomal RNA
Source: RNAcentral
ACAGCAGCAGCCGCGGUAAUACGAAGGGGGCCAGCGUUGUUCGGAUUUACUGGGCGUAAAGGGCGCGUAGGCGGACUGAUAAGUCAGGGGUGAAAUCCCAAGGCUCAACCUUGGAACUGCCUUUGAUACUGUUUGUCUUGAGUUCGAGAGAGGUAAGUGGAACUGCGAGUGUAGAGGUGAAAUUCGUAGAUAUUCGCAAGAACACCAGUGGCGAAGGCGGCUUACUGGCUCGAAACUGACGCUGAGGCGCGAAAGCGCGGGGAGCAAACAGGAUUAGAUACCCCGGUAGUCCCUGUCUCUUAUAC